RNAcentral lists this ribosomal RNA (292 nucleotides) under uncultured bacterium. RNAcentral's name for it is "partial 16S ribosomal RNA". It matches the Rfam family "Bacterial small subunit ribosomal RNA", at positions 505 to 796 of the family's 1533-position model. The record is from RNAcentral.
GUGUCAGCAGCCGCGGUAAUACGAAGGUGGCAAGCGUUGUUCGGAUUUACUGGGCGUAAAGGGAGCGUAGGUGGUUAGGUAAGCCCUCCGGGAAAUCUUCAGGCUUAACCUGAAAAGGUCGGGGGGGACUGCCUAGCUAGAGGGCGGGAGAGGAGCGCGGAAUUCCCGGUGUAGCGGUGAAAUGCGUAGAGAUCGGGAGGAAGGCCGGUGGCGAAGGCGGCGCUCUGGAACGUUUCUGACACUGAGGCUCGAAAGCGUGGGGAGCAAACAGGAUUAGAUACCCUCGUAGUCC